AGGAUGAACGCUGGCGGCGUGCCUAAUACAUGCAAGUCGAGCGGUAAGGUUCUGCACUUAGCAUUUGACCAGAUCAAGUCUACUCUUGAGUAGAAACUGACUGAAGCAGGGAGCUCCAAGGCUGGAGAACCCGAGUCGAAUUCUGAGUGUAGAAUACACGAGCGGCGGACGGCUGAGUAACACGUAGGAACGUACCCCAAACUGAGGGAUAAGCACCAGAAAUGGUGUCUAAUACCGCAUGUGAUCUUCGGAUUAAAGCUUCGGCGGUUUGGGAACGGCCUGCGUAAGAUUAGCUUGUUGGUGAGGUAAUAGCUCACCAAGGCGACGAUCUUUAGCUGGUCUGAGAGGAUGACCAGCCAGACUGGAACUGAGAACGGUCCAGACUCCUACGGGAGGCAGCAGUAGGGAAUUUUCCACAAUGGACGAAAGUCUGAUGGAGCAACGCCGCGUGCAGGAUGAAUGUCUUCGGAUUGUAAACU
This 479-nucleotide ribosomal RNA is filed under the name uncultured bacterium. RNAcentral describes it as "SSU rRNA". It matches the Rfam family "Bacterial small subunit ribosomal RNA", at positions 26 to 431 of the family's 1533-position model. The record is from RNAcentral.